ACCUGGCCCCAGGCUUCCUCAAGGAGCACCACGUGGUCUUGGUGGUGUUAAACCCAGCACUCAUUUCCAGCACGUGGUGACCCCUUCCUUGCCUUGGUAAGUGUGGGGAAGAUAGAGGCCAUCACUGUCCUAGCCCACUGCAGGCUGAACCCACCCUAGAGAAGAUGUCAUGUGACACAGUCCUCCAGAAGAGAGUGAAGUCGGGUACUGAGAAUUCAGGUAUCAGAAGUAACAGAAGGAUGUGUUAUGGUUUGUGUCUGGGUGUCCCCCAGAAGCCUCAUACAGUCACGGGGUGGGCCUUUGGUAGACAGCUGAAUCUAGCAUUUGUGAUUGGUUCAUUGCCGAGGGCUGGGAGUGCUGUGCCUACCCUGCGCCCACCCUGCACACAGGGUAGGGAGGGAAAGAGGCUUGCUCUCUCUUUCUCCUUCCCUUUUUUUCCCUGUGGUGAGGACUUGGCUCGUGUCUGCGCUGACCCGUAUGGAGGGCCCUCAACCCUGUGGUCACUGAGCACUUGGAAGGUGGAAAGUGCAACUGAAAAACUGAAGUGUAAUUAUUUAAAAUCAUAGUUAACAGUGUCAUGGGCAGCUGGGGGGCUGCUGUGGUGGGCAGUGAGGAUCCAGUCCUCCCACUCAUGACUUUUCAUGUGUCCUAACAUUAUAUGCAAGUUGGAGCUAUUAUAAAGUGACCACCGGGUGCGGAGGUGCACUCCUGUAAUUCCAGGACUAGGGAGGCUGAGACAGGAGGAUUGCCACGAGUUUGAGGUCAUCCUGGGCUGCAUAGUGAGUUCAAGGCCAUCCUGGACUCAACUUCAAGACUCUGUCUCAAAAGCAAGCAAGCAAGCAAUUCCAUUAACCUUUGGGUGCACUUUCCCCUUGAAGUCAGUUUUGUCAUGGGUUAGGGACCCACACCUCCUUGCCAAAGGGAAAACUUUAUUAUGAGACCCACUCGAAGAAAAAUUUAAUUGUGCUCAAACUUUGAUUUUUAUAAGUUGUAUACAUCAUGCUUUUGUGGUCAUGUCUGCAAAACAAUGUCAACUUUGUCUACGAAGUGCGUAAUUAGAAUGUGUCACUUUAACCACGGUGAUGCACUUUAUGUUCAGCAUAUUUUGCUCCGUUAUAGGUGUGUCUAGAGGUCCCCCCAAAGCCUCACGCACUCAUAGAUGGGGCUUUUCCUCAGUGGCUGGAUCUCGGACGUGUGGUGCCGGAAUUAGCAGUGUGUGAGACUGAACGGCUCGUCUGGGCGUGGAUGAUGGAAGCUCACCCAGGGUGUGGGUGGCACCACGACAGGCUUGUGGCCUGAAUGAGUUAAAAGGGAGGGAGAAGGCAGGCUGCUGCUGCUUGCCCUGCCGCCUCCUGCCUGCCUGCCACGAACUGUUCCUCUGUCACCCCCUGCCACGCUGCCCUGCCUUGGAGCAGCCAACACUGAGCCCUCUACACACUGUGAGCUGAUGUAAGCCUUCCCUCCUGUCACUUGCAGGUGGCAGUAUUCUGUGCCAGCAAUGAAGAAGUAACUAAGCCACCACUGUGACAUAAUGUUAUGCUUUGUUUUAUGUUACUAGGCCUAAUUUUGAUCUGGCGUUGUUGAGAUUUCUCACUACCUAGUCCUUGCUGAGAAUUUGGUCCGGCUGGGUCCCAGCUAGGAUGUACUUCUCAUCGGUGACCCACCUGCCCCAGAAGCCAGUCUCUCUGGGAGAUGGAGGGACCUCUGUGCUCUUCAUCCUGCCUGGGAGCUGCCCCUGCUCCACAGUCCUCAUCAUGACAACAGCACCUGGUGAUCCCUGCAGGGAAGCCCAGGGUGGUGCCCCAGGGUCUGACUCACACUCCAGCCCUGUUGAGCUCCCUAGAAGCACUAUCAUGUUCCAGUGGGGCCCCAGAACAAUAUGGAGAUUCUAGGAGCAAGUCUCAGUGUGACCCUGGGGGUGGGCCCAAGUGCAGCUCUGAGCACAGGGCAGGAUCCUGGGGCCCCCACCGGUGGCCACGUGGCCUUAUCUGGUGUGAUGCGGAUGCCCUAGUGGGCAGGGAGGGGUGUCAGGAGUGGAGCAUCCAGUGUGGCCCAGGUGGUGUUUACAGCUGGAAAUGGGGUACAGGGAAGUUUCAAGAACAGGUAGCACAAGCAGCAGGCAAGGGGCUCCUCCUAGGGGCUCCCGUUGUGGCCCUGUGUGGCUCCAUCCUCACUCUGGGCCCCACUACCUGCACCCCAGCACCCUAGGAUCUUUUAUUUGAAUAUUCAUUCUUUCAUUCUCAAGUGUCUUCUAUAGUGUUCAAAAGUCAUGCUGUGGUCAGCGUUUGCCGUUGCUAAACUGCCAGGUACCCAGGAAGCCUAAGAAACCGUGCUCCAUCCCGAGCCUCUGCAUCAGGAGCACACAGGCCCGGGGGACCAGCCUGGAACCCUGCUCCUAAGCAAACCUGAGCCACCACCUCCUCCAGCCAGAGCCAGCCCUGCCGUGGGGCUUGUCAUCUUGGGGAGCCGCUUCCCAGCUGGAGCAUGGAGUCGUGGUGGUGUCUGCUCCGAAGGGAUUUUUGACUUCUAUGGAAAAUUUCAACAAAACCUGCAAAUACUAAGUUAAACCUUGAUGCUAAAACUGCCACAAAAGUGUUUAAAGAUGAUUGUUUAAAGGUCACUUUUAAGCAAAUAAAUACAUUAAAAAAUGUUCAACAGCGCUGGUCAUUUGAGAAAUGCAAAUGAAAACAACACUGAGAUUCUACCUCACCCCAGAAAGAAGGGCUAGUAUUAAGAAAUCAACCAAUAACAAAUGCUGGAGGGGAUGUGGGGUAAAAGGAGCCCUUCUCCACUGUUGGUGGGAGUGCAGAAUGGUGCAACCACUGUGGAAAUCAGUGUGGAGAUUCCUCAAAAAAAAAAAAAAUAGGACUAGAGGUCCCAUUCGACCCAGCUAUUCCCCUUCUGGUAUCUUCCCAAAAGAGCUGAAGACAUCAUAUCACAGCAAUAUGUGUGUACCCAUGUUUGUAACGGCACAGUUUAUAAUAGCCAGACCUUGGAAACAACCUAAAUGCCCAUCAACUGAGGAACAGAUAAAAAAGAUGUGGUAUUUCUAUAUAAUGAAAUACUAUCCAGCCAUAAAGAAUGAUAAAUCGGACACUUUUAUAGGUAAAUGGAUACACUUUGAGAAAAUACUUAUUCGUGAAAUAAAUAAGACAUGCAUGUGUAAACAUAUUGUUUCACGAGUGUGACAAGCAGAAAGAAAAAUCAUGUAUAUGUGUAUGUAUGUGUAUAUAAAAAAUAUUUGAGACAGUUAAAAAGAAAAGCAGCAUAGUGGCCUCCUGUGUCUUGCACGUGGCCUGUUCAGAAGCAAACUCAGCCCUUCUCUUCACUGAACACCCCUGUAGGUGCCCCCUUCCCUUCUACAGCUUGUCCCAGUCUCUGUCCCAAAGCAAAUGACCUCAGCCAAAGCAAGGACUCAGGCCACACCUGCCUUUGCUUUACCCCACUGUGACCAUUUCGAGUUGACUUUUGGAUGUCUUAAGAAAUUUCUGAUGUGCUGUAAGAUUUGGGAUUUUUUGCAUGUGGAUAUCCAGUUGUUCUGGUAUAUUUAUUGAGGGUACAAUCCUUUCUCUGUUUGAUGGCUUUUGCAUCUUUGCCAAAAAUCAAUUAUCUGUUACAUAGAUAUCUACUUUGGGUCUUUGUAUUGGUGCUUUGGUGGUUUGCCUAUUGUUAUGCAUUAAGAACUGGUGGUCAACUUACCCAGCUGGAUUACAUCAGCAUGGCAUUGAGCGAAGAUGCUCCACCUGAGGAAAGUUGUCAGGAUAAAUAGGUGGAGAAGAAGGAGGCAUUGUGGGUUCUCUUACGAGUUGCUGUCUGAGCUGUUGGUUCUCCUGGAGAAGCUCUGGUCCUCACAUCGAGCAUUGCUUCCUGGCUCCGGAGGGGAAGAAAUGUGCUGCUUGGUCUCCAGGAUGAACUCGUCACGCUGCUUCCUGGCAUGUACCCCACUGUGCUUGUCGUCGGAGGAGCUCGGGCCUCCAUGUCACUGAGGAUGGCUGUGGUGCUUUCAGGACAGCCCUGGUCUUUGUUGUGAGUGUGACUUCUCGGCUCCAGCGUAGAACCCUCAUCCCACUAGCACAGCUCCUUCAUCCUGCUGGCAUAGACUUUCUGGCUUCCACCGCUGACCCUUGGGUCUUCCCGACACAGAUCCGUAAAAGAGACUGGCAUGAGUCCUUCUUGUGGGCUCUGGACCUCCAACUGGACUCGUGGGAGGCAUUGUCCUGAGCUCUGGGAUUUUAUCUGGACUCAUGUGGGCCAUUGCUGUGGGAUUUAGGCCCUUGACUUAAUAAUCUAUGUCUUUGGUGUUGCAGAUAGAUUUCCUGCAUUUUCCUGUGUUAACUUCCGGUGACCAUUAUAAAAACAAUAUUAUAAACUCCAUGUCUUGAUCCUAACUGUUCUCUGUGUACAACCCUGACUACAACACCUAUCUUGAUAUCAGUGCUGUUUUUCACAACUGAGGUAACUUUGUGAUAAGUCGUGGAUUGGGGAGGGUUGGAGCUCUAAUUUUAUCCUUUAUCAAAGCUGUUUAGUCUAUUCUGAGUCUUUCCAUUUCUACAGAAAUGUAAGAAUCAAAAUGUUAAUCUUUAUGAAAAAUGAUAUUGACAGUUUGAUGAGAUUGUGUUCUCUAUCUUUAUUGUUUUCUUCUAUUUGUUUUAUUCUGUCUUUUAUUUCUAAUUUCUUAAGAAAAGAUAUGAGGAGAUUUCAUAACUUUUCUAGUAAAUGUACCUUGAAAAAAAUAAAGAUCAUGUUUAAUACCAA
This is a long non-coding RNA of Cavia porcellus (domestic guinea pig), 4755 nucleotides long. RefSeq lists it as uncharacterized. NCBI's taxonomy places the organism in Eukaryota, Metazoa, Chordata, Mammalia, Rodentia, Caviidae. The record is from RefSeq and is a predicted model, not a curated record. The transcript is spliced from 2 exons.